RNAcentral lists this long non-coding RNA (943 nucleotides) under Coturnix japonica (Japanese quail). RNAcentral describes it as "lncRNA (ENSCJPG00005006932.1)". Lineage: Eukaryota; Metazoa; Chordata; Aves; Galliformes; Phasianidae. The record is from RNAcentral.
UGGAGAUAGGGAAAACAAUUGGAAGAACAUCUAUGUUGCUUUUUAUCAGAAAUGUCCUUGGUCAGGACCAUUUCUGGUUUUCUCCAAACACUGUGUAUGUGUUGCAUGCAGUAACUGAAGUGGUAGUGAUGAUUUCAGUACCUCAACUGCCUGCCUGUGUAGCUCUUUGGAAACAGGAGAAGGAAAUAAAUCAACAAAUUUCUCUGCAGAGUGGAAGAUGAUGAUGUAAGCAGAGGGAGUUUUCAGCUGCAGAAAGAACAAUGGUGGAAACUUAUGGUUUUGUACUACAGCAGCUCCUUUCCACUAUCAGACAGGAAUCUAUGACCACAGGCAAUUCAAACAGGGAUACUAACAAAAUAGUGAGGAGCAACAUUGCACAGGCCUUGUCUUAUGGCAUCUGCUCCAGAAACGACUGGAGGAGCAGAGAUCUGUCUAUUGAGUGGACUUAUUGCCCCAGCCUUCUGGGACAUCUGUCAGAGGCCCCUGUUCAGGGGAAGCUUUCUGCUGCAUCACGUUCUCACCGCUGUAAGGGGCAGAGCUGCGUGAUGCAGCCCGAGAAAACGGGGUAAGUUCGCCACCUGCAGCUGCCUCUGUAGUAUUGCUUCUUUUUGUUGCGUGCGUUUUUUUACGUCUUUUCUGCUCCAUCCGUCAGCAGCGCUGUUUCUGGUAUUUAUAUUCGUUUAGAGGUCGCCGUGCUCCGCUUAAAAUGUAUAAAGGCGUGUCCCACCAUCCCAAACCCUCGGAAACAAACCACCUCCUUCUUCCCCUCAAAACCCAACCCAGCCUACCACAAAACCACCCCUCCCGACAAAACCCUCCCUAAAACAAACGCAAAGCUCCAAAACAGGACUGUGCUGGGUCAGGUAGGUGUGCCAGCUUGGAGCUGCAAGAUAACGGCAGCUUUUCUUUAAAGUUUACUUCAGAAGCUUCAGUAUGGCCAGCU